Molecule: ribosomal RNA, 259 nt
Filed under: uncultured bacterium
Lineage: Bacteria
Description: partial 16S ribosomal RNA
Rfam family: Bacterial small subunit ribosomal RNA
Source: RNAcentral
UGGCAAACGGGUGAGUAACGCGUGGGUAACCUGCCCUGUACAGGGGGAUAACAGUCAGAAAUGACUGCUAAUACCGUAUAAGACCACAGCACCGCAUGGUGCAGGGGUAAAAACUCCGGUGGUACAGGAUGGACCCGCGUCUGAUUAGCUGGUUGGUGAGGUAACGGCUCACCAAGGCGACGAUCAGUAGCCGGCUUGAGAGAGUGAACGGCCACAUUGGGACUGAGAGACGGCCCAAACUCCUACGGGAGGCAGCAUG